CAGUCGCCGCGGUAAUACGUAGGUGGCAAGCGUUGUCCGGAAUUAUUGGGCGUAAAGCGAGCGCAGGCGGUCAAUUAAGUCUGAUGUGAAAGCCCCCGGCUCAACCGGGGAGGGUCAUUGGAAACUGGUUGACUUGAGUGCAGAAGAGGAGAGUGGAAUUCCAUGUGUAGCGGUGAAAUGCGUAGAUAUAUGGAGGAACACCAGAGGCGAAGGCGGCCUUCUGGACUGUCACUGACGCUGAGGAACGAAAGCGUGGGGAGCAAACAGGAUUAGAUACCCCUGUAGUCCCUGUCUCUUAUAC
Molecule: ribosomal RNA, 301 nt
Filed under: uncultured bacterium
Lineage: Bacteria
Description: partial 16S ribosomal RNA
Rfam family: Bacterial small subunit ribosomal RNA
Source: RNAcentral